GGUGGAGUAAUUUGUCUGGUUUAUUCCGAUAACGAACGAGAUUCACUCCUGCUAACUAGAAUCCUCGUAGCUUAGCGAGGCAUUCUUCUUAGAGGUAUAAGCGGUGUUUAGCCGCAUGAGAUUGAGCAAUAACAGGUCUGUGAUGCCCUUAGAUGUCUGGGGCUGCACGCGUGCGACAAUGGAAGAGACAACGUGCCUACCAGCACCGAAAGGUGUUGGGAAACCGUUGAAACUCUUUCGUGACUGGGAUAGGGAAUUGUAAUUAUUUCCCUUGAACGAGGAAUUCCUAGUAAGUGCGAGUCAUCAGCUCGCGCUGAAUACGUCCCUGCCCUUUGUAC
This 338-nucleotide ribosomal RNA is filed under the name Nematoda environmental sample. RNAcentral's name for it is "SSU rRNA". It matches the Rfam family "Eukaryotic small subunit ribosomal RNA", at positions 1300 to 1665 of the family's 1831-position model. Lineage: Eukaryota; Metazoa; Nematoda. The record is from RNAcentral.